GACGUAGGGCGCGAGCGUUGUCCGGAUUUAUUGGGCGUAAAGAGCUCGUAGGCGGCUCAUUGCGUCGUUCGUGAAAACCUGGGGCUCAACUUCAGGAUUGCGGGCGAUACGGGUGGGCUGGAGUUCGGUAGGGGAGACUGGAAUUCCUGGUGUAGCGGUGAAAUGCGCAGAUAUCAGGAGGAACACCGGUGGCGAAGGCGGGUCUCUGGGCCGAUACUGACGCUGAGGAGCGAAAGCGUGGGGAGCGAACAGG
RNAcentral lists this ribosomal RNA (253 nucleotides) under uncultured bacterium. RNAcentral's name for it is "partial 16S ribosomal RNA". It matches the Rfam family "Bacterial small subunit ribosomal RNA", at positions 524 to 776 of the family's 1533-position model. The record is from RNAcentral.